UACAGAGGGGGCAAGCGUUGUUCGGAAUUACUGGGCGUAAAGGGCGCGUAGGCGGCCUUCUAAGUCGAAUGUGAAAUCCUCAGGCUCAACCUGGGAACUGCGUCCGAUACUGGAUGGCUUGAAUCCGGGAGAGGGAUGCAGAAUUCCAGGUGUAGCGGUGAAAUGCGUAGAUAUCUGGAGGAAUACCGGUGGCGAAGGCGGCAUCCUGGACCGGCAUUGACGCUGAGGAGCGAAAGCCAGGGGAGCAAACGGG
This 253-nucleotide ribosomal RNA is filed under the name uncultured bacterium. Its description in RNAcentral is "partial 16S ribosomal RNA". It matches the Rfam family "Bacterial small subunit ribosomal RNA", at positions 524 to 776 of the family's 1533-position model. The record is from RNAcentral.